Capsicum annuum is the source of this 2776-nucleotide long non-coding RNA. RefSeq lists it as uncharacterized. The transcript has 12 exons. The record is from RefSeq and is a predicted model, not a curated record. NCBI's taxonomy places the organism in Eukaryota, Viridiplantae, Streptophyta, Magnoliopsida, Solanales, Solanaceae.
GUUUCCAAAAUGAACACUUUGUGUUCUCCGUAAAAAAUGCACUUUAAUUUUUACACAAAUAUUUAAGCUUGUUUGUUGAUCAAAUAUUGAACAUUCUUUUUGGCUGAAUAUCAAUCAAAUGCAUUGUUGACCAGAAAUUGAAGUUAAAUGAAUUGUGGCUUGUAUAUAGAUGGGUAAAAAUUUAGUUUAUAUUCAUGUAUUUGAUGCAGAUGGUCAAGCUAGUCGUUGAGAUCUUCUUGGUGAAAGAAGUUCCUGUGAUGAAUUUUCUAAUUCGAGAAAUUCAAAAAUGGAAAGAAAUUAGAAUAUAAGAUAAUGUCAUUGAACGAUAUCGUCAAAAUAUCGUCUUUGGACUGUAUAUGUUGCAGAUGUUUUGUAUCCUGAAAGAUGUGAAUGCCCCUUAAAUCAAUUCCAAGUAUGUCCAAACUGUUAGCUACUUCAUUAGCUUCCUAGUAGAAAGAAUGAACUUUUCAUUUUCCUGCUCCAUCACACAAAUAAUGGAUCCGAUAUCAUCUCUCAACUCGCUAUUUCUUGUGUCUCAUUUCUUUAGUAUUUAAAAAACCAAAAGGGGAGUCUAGCUCCAUGAUAAUUUGAUUAAAACCAUUAUCCAUAAACCAUUAUAUUGGAUACUAAAUAUUACCACAUUAGCCUCAUCUGCGUUGUUACUGCUAUGGUUAGUAGGCGCAGAGAAACCAAAUAUGAGCCUCCUAGUAAAGUAAGAAUCUUAGAAAGAUUGAUGGGACAUAAAAAAAAGGAACUGAUAAAGUUAAGCAUCUUAUGAAGAAUCUUGCAGCAAGACAACAAUCAUCUUCAGGAUUCAAGAAAGGGAUUUGGAUGUUGCUGGACAGAAACCUCGAAGUGUACUUUAGUUCAAGGGAGAAACAGUUCUUAUACGAUAUUGUGGCAAAUGGUCGAAAUGGAAUCGAUGUGGACAAGUUUGAUUACAUCGUCAGAGAUGCCCGAGCGUGUGCUCUAGGAUGCAAUUUUCAGUUCCAAAGGUUAAUGGAGACAAUGAGAGUUCUGGGAGACGAUAUAUGCUAUGGAGCCUAAGAUUAUUUAACCAUUCACAAGUUAUUUACCACACGAGCUGAUCUACACAGAACUGUUUAUACUCAUGCUAAAGUGAAGGCAAUAAAGCUUAUGGUUGUAGAUGCAGCAGUGAAAGCAAAUGAUUAUCUACAGAUAGCAUCCCAUAUAGAGCACCCUUCUCAAUACUGAAGAUCAAUGGUAGUUGGGUGAAAUGGAUGAUGAAAUGGCUGAUGGAUGACUGGAGAGUUCUUUUCUGAUGUUGAGGAAUAAUCCAAAGUAUUUCCCGCUGUUGGUUUCGUGCAAACAAUGACAUACAAGGAUUGAGAUGCGAUAUAGUGUUGAGCAGUUGAGUAUUAUGGAGUUCUGGAACAUGCAAUGUGUCGAUUUUUCAAUGGACUUUCAUUGAACAAUGGUGGAUUGGUCCCAAAUGCUGCAAAGUCAAUUAAGAUGGAAGUUGGCUGGUCUGUACUUACAACUUCUGGACAUCCAUUUGUAAUUGACCCAGAUUGUCAUGGGCUUCAUCGAUAUCAAAUGGUUUUUCUAAUGUAUAUUUCUGCUGAUGAAGGAGAGACCGUGUUCGAGGAGUUUUGGAGCUGCCUGUAUUUUAACCAUCUGGACAACCCUGUUUUGGUGUAUUGGAGUUCAUAAUGACCUCCAUCAACUAUGUUGCAGAGGUCGGGUUUCAAACCUCAGAGGUCACUGGAAGUGAUUAUUUUCACCUCAGAAGAACCCACGAGGUUUGGGAUCAGCUGUCUGGGAAGCCGUUUGCUGGCAGGAAUUGUACAGCUUGCAGAACAACUAAAAAGUACAAAAUACAGCCAUAAUGUUUCCUUCUCUGAUGCUGAUAAGUCUGCUGGUUACGCAAAUGCUAAGGGGGAUUUGUCUGAAGUAUUUCUCGAAAAAGAAACUUAUUCUGCUUUCGUCAAGUUGCACAUAGAGCAAGGUCCUAUUCUAGAAAAAAGUCAGCGGCUGUUAAAUGCUUAUCCUAUUCUUCAUCAUCCGAUGCAAGUACCGGUUUAAUUGUAGUCAUAUCAAUAAAUAAGUUGGUGUAUCUGCCAAUGAAGGUGUUUCGAUUGAUGUUGUGACUGCGAUUGCCGCUCCAGCAAGCAUCAAAGUAACAUUUGAAGGCAAUGGAGGUCAUGCAGGAGCUGCACUGAUGCCUAAGAUAAGUAUUGAGUUCCUUGUUGUCCGUGUGCAGAAUCAUUUAUGCACGGGCUGCAGUGCUGAAUUAAUGUAUGUCCUGGAACCAACCAAGAAGGUUGCGGCUGUCAAGUUAAUUGAUGACUGGUUAAUGAUCUUGUUUCUAUCAUUUUUCACGCCUAGCAAGUUAAUUGAAAACGGAAUAAUGAUCUGUUUCUAAGUAAGGAUACUACUAAUCUCAUUUUUCAAUUUUUUUCAUAUUAUUUUUCAAUCAUGCUCAUUUUUUUCUCACACCAGCAUUUUGUCUACUGAAACUUGUUUGUGUAACAAAACAAAUUCAGCAUGAUAUUUAAAGAUGUUUUUCAAACUGUAAUUUAUGGAGUGAAACACCCACACAUUCUUCAUUACAUAAGAAAUAUCUAAUAUAGUACUUGUUCAUUACAAAAUAAACUGAAAUUAAAAUUAACAUAAAAGUUACAAUUGAACAUGGACUCGACUACUCAUUUUUUUUCCUUCUUAAUCACUUUGCGGAUCUUGGUGGUGGAUUGUUUGUCAUUACAUUCAUCAUCAUAUUCCUACAUUGGCAAUUUUUCAACACCUUUGCUUCUUU